Molecule: unclassified non-coding RNA, 216 nt
Filed under: Paraglomerales sp.
Lineage: Eukaryota; Fungi; Glomeromycota; Glomeromycetes; Paraglomerales
Description: partial internal transcribed spacer 2
Source: RNAcentral
GUGAAUCAUCAAAUCUUUGAACGCAAAUUGUGCCUUUUUCGGAGGGCAUGUCCGUUUGAGUGCACCAUUUAACAAAUAAUGUGCAUUUCGUGUGCACACGUUGAUGAGCUUUCCAAAUUUAUGUAUUAUUUUUGCUGGCGCAUAUUAAACAGCGCGAUGCUUUUUUUCAGUUCGGGUGUAGUAAAAUUUUUUCUUGUCUGGGUUGUGAAAAGCUUG